Molecule: ribosomal RNA, 916 nt
Filed under: uncultured archaeon
Lineage: Archaea
Description: bacterial SSU rRNA
Rfam family: Archaeal small subunit ribosomal RNA
Source: RNAcentral
UUCUGGUUGAUCCCGCCGGACCUGACUGCUAUCGGAUUGGUACUAAGCCAUGCGAGUCGAGAGGGGUAAGCCCUCGGCGUAUUGCUCAGUAACACGCGGAUAACCUGCCCUUGGGUCCGGGAUAACCCCGGGAAACUGGGACUAAUACCGGAUAGAUCAAAGAUACUGGAAUGUUCUCUGGUCUAAAACUCCGGUGCCCAAGGAUGGGUCUGCGGCCUAUCAGGUAGUAGUGGGUGUAACGUACCUACCAGCCUACGACGGGUAAGGGUUGUGAGAGCAAGAUCCCUGAGAUGGAUUCUGAGACAUGAAUCCAGGCCCUACGGGGUGCAGCAGGCGCGAAAACUUUACACUGCGGGAAACCGCGAUAAGGGGACCCCGAGUGCCAGCACCUAGUGCUGGCUGUCCCGCUGUUCAAAAAACAGUGGUUAGCAAGGGCCGGGCAAGACCGGUGCCAGCCGCCGCGGUAACACCGGCGGCCCGAGUGGUAGCCGUUAUUAUUGGGUUUAAAGGGUCCGUAGCCGGCUUACUAAGUCUCUUGGGAAAUCUGGCGGCUUAAUCGUCAGGCGGCCAAGAGAUACUGGUAGGCUUGGGACCGGGAGAGGUGGGAGGUACUCCAGGGGUAGGGGUGAAAUCUCGUAAUCCUUGGGGGACCACCGAUGGCGAAGGCAUCCCACCAGAACGGGUCCGACGGUGAGGGACGAAAGCUGGGGGCACGAACCGGAUUAGAUACCCGGGUAGUCCCAGCUGUAAACGAUGCAGACUCGGUGAAGCGUUGGCUUCAUGCCAACGCUGUGCCGCAGGGAAGCCGUUAAGUCUGCCGCCUGGGAAGUACGGUCGCAAGAUUGAAACUUAAAGGAAUUGGCGGGGGAGCACCACAAGGGGUGAAGCCUGCGGUUCAAUUGGAGUCAACGCCGGA